UGGGGAAUAUUGGACAAUGGGCGAAAGCCUGAUCCAGCCAUGCCGCGUGUGUGAAGAAGGUCUUCGGAUUGUAAAGCACGUUAAGUUGGGAGGAAGGGCAUUAACCUAAUACGUUAGUGUUUUGACGUUACCGACAGAAUAAGCACCGGCUAACUCUGUGCCAGCAGCCGCGGUAAUACAGAGGGUGCAAGCGUUAAUCGGAAUUACUGGGCGUAAAGCGGGCGUAGGUGGUUUGUUAAGUUGGAUGUGAAAGCCCCGGGCUCAACCUGGGAACUGCAUUCAAAACUGACUGACUAGAGUAUGGUAGAGGGUGGUGGAAUUUCCUGUGUAGCGGUGAAAUGCGUAGAUAUAGGAAGGAACACCAGUGGCGAAGGCGACCACCUGGACUAAUACUGACACUGAGGUGCGAAAGCGUGGGGAGCAAACA
This 427-nucleotide ribosomal RNA is filed under the name uncultured bacterium. RNAcentral describes it as "partial 16S ribosomal RNA". It matches the Rfam family "Bacterial small subunit ribosomal RNA", at positions 355 to 774 of the family's 1533-position model. The record is from RNAcentral.